UCAUCGAGUGUUUACACUGGCAGACUGGGCUGUGAUGUGAUUUUCCUCCUCUUCCUCCUCAUCCCACCCCCGCCGUUGACUUCCUCGGCAUAUCUGUUUCCUCCGAUUAAAAUACUACGUAGUGACAACACUGAAGGAGGAAAAAGGAAAGUGAGGGGGAGGGAGACCGAAGGCAUAUUUUAAAAGGAUGGUGGGUUCCCUCGGCGUCCCUCACCCAAGCGCAUCCCCCCCCACGCGCACACGGCGUUAGCACAGCAGCCCAGACACGAGCCGGGAGCUCGGCCUGCUGCCGGACUGGAGAAUUCACCCCCCCAAGCCGCGGAAAUGAGAAAGAAACUCUCCCCUUGCUAGCACGGAUGAGUAACAGGAUAGCUCUCCUCGGCCAGGUUUUACUUCUGAAGUUCCCCACGGCUGGGACCCCCCCCAGGCGAUACUGAGCGUGUGCGACACGGGCUGGUGGACGGCUCCGAGGCGACGCUCUCAGAGCCGGAGCAGUGGAAGGAUGCAGCCAACAUGGAGGCCGCGCCAGUGUGAGGCCCGUUGCCUUUCGGUCAGAGUGAAGGAAGAAAAAGUUUUAGAAUACAUCUGACCUCCUGGCUGGUGGACUGACUUCCUGGCUCAACCUCAGACCUCCCUUGUCACUACGGACCUGCCCAGUGAUCUCGGGGCUGUUUGACCCUCCUUACUAUCACUAGACCUGAUCCUGACCCUGACCUGCAGAUCGACUUCCUGGCUUGACCUCAGACCUACCUUAUCAUUGCAGACUUGCCAGAUGACCUGGACUCUUGGUUGAACCUGCUACCGUGUCUGAUCCGCACUGCUGCCCUCGCUCAGGUACUGCGGGAUGGGGGCCUGGCUGGCGAGGCCCCUGCCCUGCCAUGCAUGGUCUGGCGCUCAGCCAUCUUCAGCCCUGAGCUUAACACCACGGUACCUAGCCCAUGGGUUCUGCAGGGCUUUGCCCCGUGACUCUUCCUGAGCAAUCAGCCUGGCCCUGGGCUUUUAUCUUCCCACGGUGCUGACAUGCUGCCCGACCCCAGGCUCUCAGGUGAGCCCGCUCCCCAGUGCUGUCUGGUCUCUGUGCCCCAUCGCGGACAGCUGGGGUCCUUCCUCCCCACCGACCCCAAGCCUGCCUGGUCUCUGGGGCUCCCCAGGUGCGGCUUGAACAUGUUCUCCCUCCCGUCACCCCCCCAAGCCCACCCAGCCUCUGGGGCCCCUCAUAGGGAACCCCUGCCCAGCCCCAGGUCUCUCAUGCAAUGUCCCUUUCCCCACUCCCUGCCCCUGCCCUGGCUCUGCAUCUCCUGAAAUAGCCCACUGACAACCCACAACCAUGAAAUCACUCUGCAGCAAGACCCCUCAAACCCAGGCCCCUGUAAGGUGUGAGGACACGCCUUGCUGGAAGGGAAGACCCCCGAGGGCACCCACAGGCCUUAAUGGCCCUGACCAGCCUCCACCCACACUCAGGGGCUCCAUUUCAGCCCGGUACCCCCAGUCCCUGGCUGAGCUAUGUUGUAGGUGUGCCUGCCUCCAGCACAGCCACGGUCACCACCACUGCCACCACCACGGCCGCAGCCAUGGCUGUGCCCGUCCAAAGACCCUGUCGAUCCAGAUCCUAAGCCCAUAGGCUGACUUGGCAGCUUGCCCUUAGUCCCGCCUCAUCUCUACAGACCUGCCCCGCAGCCCCUGGGCUGUCUGUCCCUGGUCUGCAAAUUGAAUUAUCAUCAUGAGUUUGCUUGAUGAGCUGUACUCUUGGUUGAAUCUGGCUACCAUUUCUGGACCUGCCCCAUUCCCCUCGUCUCACUCAGCUACUGCGGGGCCGGGCCCUGGCUGGCGAGGCCCCUGCCCUGCUGGCCACGUUCUAGCACUCAGCUCCUCAUCCCUUAGGGAGCAGCUGGCCCUCGCUGCUCACUGACAGUCUGAUCCUGAAGACAUUUCCAGAUUUUGACUUUUUGCUCUGAUUCAAAAUGAAAACGCACUGCCAAAUGUUGGAAUCCCCCCUGGGUUGGGAAUCCUGACAAAGUCUGCUUUCGCUGUACAUGAAUGACUCUCCAGCUGAAUCCUAUUCGAAUAGCUCAUACUCCAGAGAAGAACAUCUUGCCUAGUGCUCCAGUGACUGGGGGGAUUUGUGGAGGGCAAGUGCACUGGUAUAAAAUACCACCAGUCUCUCUUGCAGCCUACUGUGAAGCCCAGCCUGCUUGGUGCCAGAAUCUGCUACAGGCUUUUUCCUAGCCUUCUGUCAAAGCUCAUCCUCUCCCCUUCUCAGGCAGAACCACCAUGCCCUCCUCUCAGGGCACAAGUCAAGAAGAUGGUCUUGAGAGCAGGCUAGACCCCAGCUUAACUGAUCACAUAGACCCAAAUAUCCUCAGAGACCUAGGCUUAGGAUGCUUGGAGGCACAAAGAACUGGGCCUCAACCCAAGAGCAGAUGCCCUAGUUUUGAUAGCUACACUGAGCUGUCAGCACAAACACAGUAGCACAGCCACUCCUCACUGCUGGAGUUGAAUUAGUCCUACAUUCAUAUGCUCAUGAAUGCCAUGGUUUGUGUAUGCAUCCAGUUAGGGUUGAAGGAAGGCAACAGGAGAUGCUAAACUUUGAAAACAGUACUUUUUACUAAAUGGCCACGGUAGGAAAUUGCUUCUUGUUUGCAUUCAGGUGAUCUGGCUGACCUUGCAGCAGUGUGCUGGGCACAUGACAGGACCAUCUAUUUUGGCAAUAGCUCCAUCUUGGAGAAACUUCUCUUUGCUUUGAGGCUUACGUGAAACACACUGAGGAUAAGGGAAGUUGUAACUACUUCAGAGUCUCCUGAAGGAUAGGCUGUGAUCAAUGUCCUUCCAUUUCAAUACAGUUGCCCUCUCAGCUUAUCACAAAUGACAACUAUAACUCAAAAGGAUUUUUUUAAAAUGACCAAUCUUAUUUUUAGUCCCAAGAGAUCUGCUCUCCCAGCCUCCAAAUCCCAAACCCUAAAGCAGAGGUAAUUUUAUGAUUUGUAUAUUAUUAAUAUACAGAAAGAUAUUUUUUCUACAGUAUCUUCUGGUGACUGGACAAACCUCAAGGGAGACAACUGCACCUCCAGCAUGUAGCUUAGAUAAUGAUUUCGGUCCUUGGCACUUUGUAACUCAGCUGGAUGACUUUUCUCUGGAGUCAGUUAUAUCAUUCAUUGCACUGUUCUCUAAGUUGAUUGCAUUUUUUUAAGUAUAUUUUCCUUAUAUACAUACCAGUUAAACUCUGAGGAAAUGAGAUUCCUUCCCCAAGGAUACUAUAAUAGCUACAUUACAAAGAUCAUUAGCAAGCACUGAAAUCUAACUAAAGCUUGGCAGCUCUUAAUAGGCAAUGAUUUUCCAUACACUGCUCUUUAACUGAACAACAAAUAUUGAUCUAACCAACUCUGCUACCAGCAUCAUGCAGGCUUUUCAAGCUGGUUUCAGAGUACGUAUUCCUCCUCUCAGAACCCAAGAGCCCAGUUCUUAGCAGGGGUAGGUCCUUUGAUCCAGCAGAGCUCCGAUGAUCUCCAUGUGGUCUCUCACAUCGUUUGAUGUAAUGUUCCUGCUGUAUAUUGCUGAUACUCUGACAAACAGGAGCAGAUACUAAUUGAUGUGAGAGGAAGGUUCAUUUUGGUCUAGAUGGAGUUGUGUUACAGAAAGCAGCACAGAGAGCAGUUCUGAUGUUCACACCAUGCUUGCUGUGCAGAAAUGAGCUUGCCAUGUGCUGUCAGGGAGCACCCUCUACUGGGAGUAGUUUUCAAAGCUACUCUCCUCAAUAGUGGAAAACCUGUCUCCUGUGGAGCACCUGCUGAAACAGUACAGCAGAGGAGCUGGUUAAACACAGAGCUGGGCACUGCAAAGAGAACCACUGUAGCAUUCUGAAUCACCACCUAAAUUCACAGACAGUAAAACAUAAAUGCCCCAGUGGAUUUGACUUGCAUUCGUAAAAUGGGGGUCAGGGUCUAUGAUUGUAUCACUGAUUCUUUCUUGGACUGGGGAAAAUUGGAAACAGGCAUGGCAAACCUCUGCUAAACUGCUGCAAUUCAUGGGAAUUUCCAAGAAGACUAUAUAUGUCUGUAGCUAACAUAACACCACUUUUGCUCCAAUUAGCUAAAAUUCCAAUGCUCAGUAUGUGUGACUGCCCUGCUGGUCCGCUCUACUCUGGCCACGGCAAAGUUGGGUGAAGGACAACAGCUUCCUUCCAUUGCCAAGGUGUCUCCAACUUCAUGGGCUUCACGCCUGAAAUGUUUUGCAGUAUCUUUCUUUUUGUCUUUAGAAGAAAACUAAGUCAUUGUAAUUGCAUUGGAAUCUGAGGGAGUUAUCUCGUGUUUCAAUAAAAAUAAAGGAGCUUUAAAAUGUUACCCUGAAUAUAAAAAUCACACUGCCAGACAAAAAUCAAUCAAUACUGCAAUUAAAACAACGGAAUUUAAAUACAUAAGUGUUAUUGUAUACAGCCAUUUUUAGUUAUUAAAAUAAUCUUAACUCAUCACCCCUGCUAUAUUAACAAUGGGAUGUGAUUAUUUUUUCAUACCUCAACAAUGUUUAUUAUUUCAAACUGAAAUACACAUAACAAUUAAGGCUAUCCAGUUAAAAGUUAAAUAUUUCUACUUUACAACUAUGCCUUAAGGAAAUAAAUGCAUUAAAAUUAUACUGAGUACUUCAGAUUAUGUUCUUCCUUUUAGAAGAACAGGAAAGCAAAAACUACACAGACAUUUUGACUAAUAGCUCAGCGAUUUUGUCACAUAAAAAUCUUUUAAGUGUUGAUCAACUGGAAGUGGUCAAUGAAACUCCAAUUUCACUGAGGUCAAGGAAACAUUGCCAUUGACUUCAGCAGAGCCCAAAAGGAUUUGUGGUUGGAGGGUUCCCUUGUUGCUACCUGAAUGCCACAAUUCCUGUGAGCCUGCAAAGCAGGUUAACACAGUGCUGGCUCUCAGGACGACAGAUGUCCAAUUAAGCUUGCUCCCUUCUUUAGACCAGUGUGUGAGUACAGGCAAAUUGGAUGCACCAGCCUCAUCAAUAAAAGAUAAAAUGAAGAAAAGAACAUUGUUAAAAAAAUCCCUGAUUCCUCCCCAUUUUCAGUUCAGGACCCUGCACAAAUCUUUUUUCCCAGCAUGUAAAAUGAGACUAUGGCCUGUCAGGUGAUAGAGGGCAGAGCUGGCAUCAGGGGUUGUGUAGCAGCUGAGGAACCUGCUGUGGCCCCAGGGCAUGAUACUGCACUACAUGAUGCACAUUCAGGCCUUAAUGUAGCAUCACAGACCCUCUCUGUAAAGAGAGGAAGACAUGAGGGUAGUAGGUGAAGAGACAUGGAGAGACAGAGAGGCAGAGGCACUGUGGCACAUAAAAGAGCAUGGGCUGAGGUACAACAUGGGAAAGACCCAUGGAAUUCAACAGGUCUGAUCAGUUGUUCAACAAGUAAGUGCAGCAAGGACUAUACGCUCUCUCUUCCCACCCAAGGGAAUAAAGCAUGCUGAAGAUUUAUUGCUCAAAGGCAAAGGGGGACAGAAGCUCUAAAAUCAAUGGGGUUAAUAGUUCUUGCACCUUUUCAGCUUCUGUUUGAAGACAGCGAUGGCAUAAUAGUUUUUAAAUUUCACCAGGAAAAUGGGGAUUGGGAUGAUAAUAGUUAACAUGCCAAAUACUGCAGCUAAGGCCGCUGUCACUUGGCCAACAGUGGUGAGAGGGAUGAUGUCUCCAUAGCCCACUGUAGUGAGUGUGAUCAGAGCCCACCAGAAGCAGACAAAAAUGUCAGUGAAGUGCAGCUCUCCUGUGUAAGAAGGACUGCUACAAAGCAACUCCCCAUAGAAAAACAGAGAGCCAAAGAAAAGGGUCUCAAAGGCCAAAAUCAUCAGCAAGAUGCAGAUCUCUCGGAGGAUAGACUUGAGGGUGUAGGAUAGAACUCUGAGGAUCAGUGGGGUUUCUAUCAGCUUGGAUAUCUUCAGGAGUUUGAGGAGAUAGACAACACGAAUAAAGCCCAGCCAAAGCCCCAAACUUGGCAUUCUCUGAAUCUGUCCGUCCACAAAGAGUUCAAUAUAAACUGGGAAAAGGGAGAGGAAGUCAACCAUGUUCAGGGGAUUCUGGAAGAAUUUCUUUUUGUCUGGGCAGACACAAAAUCGCACAGAGAACUCAAAAGUAAACCAAAGAACACAGAAAAGCUCCAGAUGAAGCAAGUAGGCAGCCUGGUGGUAAUAGGGUUCACGGUAGUUGUGGGCAACCUCAGAACGGCCAACAAAGGUGAAGUUAGCAGUGAAGAACUCAAAUUGUGCCUUGGUCUCCUCACAGAAUAUGACGACAACUCCAAUGGUGAAUAGCAGAGAAACAACAGCCAGGCACUGCAGAGGGAAGAAAGGGUACACAUACCAUGAGUCCAACAAACAGGUAUCACAUUACCUCACUGCUCCACCUCAAGCCCAGGAUCCCCUCCAUAGACGCAGAAUGAUCUCAAACUAACAUUUCUCAAAUGCUCUGCUAAGAGUUGUUUUGCACAGAUCGGUAUUUUCUCCCUCCAGGCUUGAAAAAACAUAUAGAAGAUUGGGGUCAAGGAAGAAAACGCCUGAACUCCUAUAUCUGAGUUUGUAGGGAAGGGGAAACAUGUCUGACAGCUGUGGUAACAUGGACAGACUCACACUGAGGGCCUAAAUGUUGACUCCAGAAAUGCUGGAACAGCAGAAAACAUCCUCUGCAGUCUCCAACUUGCAUUUGUUGUUCUGCAUGCCUGACCUUUCAAAAAGGGGCUGGACAUGCAUUUUAUGUAGGGACAAGUGGAAGGGGAGAAAAAAAGAUGUGUCUGUUAAUGAGAAAACAGAGAUUUUGAAAUGCACUAAGGAACCAUUUAGUUACAUUUAAUCCAGGAACAACUACUCAGUCCUAGCAAAUGGAGCUGAUGAGCCAAGAAAAUAGGUGUUGCCUGGAAGGCAAGUACUGUUUAAAAAACAUGAAGUUGAGAUCUGAGAAUUUUCUUUCAUUCUCACACACUAAAAAUCAAGCAGAAAUCAAGAAUAUGCAGAUAUAGUGUGACUAUUAACUAGCUUAGCCUGAUAUAGUGUGACUAUUAACUAGCUUAGCCUCCAGGCCAAGAAAAGGGCAAGUAGAGGAUAUGAUAGACAACACAAGCAAAGAAGAAACCUUGAGCUUCUCCGUCCUAUAGGCUCCUAAUUCCUGGAAAUGUCAGACACACGACUCACCAAAUACUAGAGGAUGUACCUUUAACUGCUGGUAGUUAGGAAGUCAGUAAUUGAGCUCAGUCCUCACCCCUUAAGCUGUGACCCUACGGUUGAACAAAUUGGGAAUAACUUUAAAGAAAACAACAUCACUAGACUACUGUCCAUCAGAGGAGGGCAAUCAGUGUGCAUGUUAUCACAUAUUUACCCAAGUUUUGCUUUCAAAACCAUUCACAGAUACAAUAUCUGGACACACUCCCUAAGUACUUUGAUGAAUAUCAAACCUCCAGGUUUUUCUUAAAGACAUAUUCAUUUUGGUUAUUUGUGUUAGGUAGAGAUGGAAGGGAAAAUCAGAUUAUCCCCAUGGCCUAGCUGAUGGUCCAUGGAUCGAACAGAUGUCUGUUACUGUCUGCCUAUAAGAAGAGGUGGAGGACAGUUGAAUGCUUUGUCCUGUGAAAGGGCUGGGACUUAAAGACUAACCUCACCUGCUACAGCCACAAGGAAAAAGAGGGACAGUUGGACAUCACCCUCCCCACUCUUCAUGCACAUACGUGGCCCAACAUGGUGCAUUCUCCAAGGAGACCACAGCUGUGAGAUGCAGCUCCACAGCUGCUGAGGGAAAGCACACCUGCAUCUACACCUCAUGGUGAGUUUUCUCACCAUGUUGUAAAACCUAGAAGACACCUUGAGGAAUAAGUAAUUCAUUUCUACUGUCAAAGCAUCAGUGAAGGAGAGUCAGGGUUCCGAGAUACAUAUUUUUUCGAUCUGGAUUCUAAACAGGCAUAAGGCUAAAAACUCAUUAGCAUCUUUCAGGGACACAUUCCAGUAAUCCCAAAGGACAUAGGCUGUGUGCAUCUCCAGGGAUAUUACCUUAGCACCGAAAGAGGAAAAGGGUUUUUCAAAGAUGGACCAAAUCUUCGGCUGCCAUCUGGUUCUCCAGCUGAAAUCCAUUCUUU
Dromaius novaehollandiae (emu) is the source of this 8086-nucleotide long non-coding RNA. RefSeq lists it as uncharacterized. Lineage: Eukaryota; Metazoa; Chordata; Aves; Casuariiformes; Dromaiidae. The record is from RefSeq and is a predicted model, not a curated record. The transcript is spliced from 2 exons.